This 211-nucleotide ribosomal RNA is filed under the name uncultured Staphylococcus sp. RNAcentral describes it as "partial 16S ribosomal RNA". It matches the Rfam family "Bacterial small subunit ribosomal RNA", at positions 150 to 354 of the family's 1533-position model. The record is from RNAcentral. Lineage: Bacteria; Bacillati; Bacillota; Bacilli; Caryophanales; Staphylococcaceae.
CGGGAAACCGGAGCUAAUACCGGAUAAUAUAUUGAACCGCAUGGUUCAAUAGUGAAAGACGGUUUGCUGUCACUUAUAGAUGGAUCCGCGCCGCAUUAGCUAGUUGGUAAGGUAACGGCUUAUCAAGGCAGCGAUGCGUAGCCGACCUGANAGGGUGAUCGGCCACACUGGAACUGAGACACGGUCCAGACUCCUACGGGAGGCAGCAGAC